This 1601-nucleotide long non-coding RNA is filed under the name Pongo abelii (Sumatran orangutan). RNAcentral's name for it is "lncRNA (ENSPPYG00000039589.1)". The record is from RNAcentral. Lineage: Eukaryota; Metazoa; Chordata; Mammalia; Primates; Hominidae.
GGUAUGGAGGCUCCACAAUCAUCAAGAAAGCAUAUUUCUUCUACCUUUCUUUUCCUUCAUCCUCAGUGUUAGCUUCCAUCCUCAUCAUGGACUCAUAAUCCAAAAUGGCUGCUGAAGUUCCAGUCAUCACUGUUUCAUCCCAGAAAGCAGAGUGGAUGAAUAGGGAACAUAAGAUUGCAUACAAUUGUCAAUUGUCCUUUUGAGGAGACUUCCAGUCAGUAUCUUCCAUUAUAUUUCAUUGAACGGUAUUGAAGAAAAGGUGAUAAAAACAAGAUUGAGCUAAAAGACAACAUAAUCAGAAGACAGAAAAUGAACACAACAUCUAAAGAACCAGAUAAGACUGUGAGAGACCAGGGAUGGUAUUUAAGAGACUUCCCCCAGCCAGAGGGAAUAAGAUAUGUAGAAUACUGAACCACACUGAUAUCUAUCUAGAGACCUGGGAGAGGAACAGCAACAGUAUACUUGCCACAUCUAAGGAGGGGAGGAGGGGCCCAUCUGUGCUCACCCCACUGCUUCAGGGUCCUUCUAACAAAGAGAUUGUGCUGCGGUGGCCCCAAGAACCUUCCAGCAGGCAAUGCCUGCUGCUUUGGAAGUAUUCAGAAGUUGCAAUGCUGGGAACCAAGAUGUCAGGUUAUUGAAAGGAGAGGAACUACCAGAUAGAACCUGGCUUUGUAGAGCAAAUAAAGGAGGUUCUAGCCUUGACAAGAGGAGUGUGGCCCUUCCUGGAAUCCCUCUGGACACACCCUCCUAGCAUCCUCUAGGAAAGAUGCGGCAGCUCAAAGGGAAGCCCAAGAAGGAGACCUCCAAGGACAAGAAGGAGCGGAAGCAAGCCAUGCAGGAGGCCCGGCAGCAGAUCACCACAGUGGUGCUGCCCACGCUGGCCGUGGUUGUGCUCUUGAUCGUGGUGUUUGUGUACGUGGCCACACGCCCCACCAUCACCGAGUGAGCCCUGCAGCCAGCCGUGGACCCCAUCGGCAGGGAGAGGAGGCGCGGGAGGGGGACGCAAACAAAAAAUGGCUUUCAUAUUCAGAGAUGUUCAUGUUGCUGAGCUGUAAGCAGGAGCACCCUGUCUUCUCUGGUCUUUGACUUGAUUAAAGUAUCUCCGCUUUCUUGGGAGGGAACAGGGGAUGUUUUAUCGGUGAAUGUGCCAUACACCUUAUGGUCCACUUCAUGUGCCUUUCAGACUUAAAAGCGCGCGCGCGCGUGUGUGUGUGUGCGUGCGCGCUUCUUCUCUCCUAAAAAUCGAUAAGUAGCUCCAUCUGAGGAGGGGCGGAGCCUCUGGGUCAGGAAGCAGCUGGAAUCCACACUCACCUCAUUCCCAUUGUUUGGAUCAUGCCUCUUUCCAACACGUGUUCACAAUCUCCAAAGGGACUAUGUUUCUUCUCUGUGCUUAAUGUGAUUUGAAAUAUGUUGAAUCAAAGUGAAAUAUUUAUUUUUUGAAUAAAGGAGAUAAUAGCCUUAAACUGGAUGUUUAUCAUGUUUUGCAAAGGAGGUGCUGUCUGUGGGUCUCCCCCUGCCCACGGGGGUCUGCCCCUCUUCCCUCCCCUUCGCUUUCUCCUGUGGCUCUCUCCGCCUUCCCCAGCACUCCCUCUGCUCAUCAU